RNAcentral lists this ribosomal RNA (471 nucleotides) under uncultured bacterium. Its description in RNAcentral is "bacterial SSU rRNA". It matches the Rfam family "Bacterial small subunit ribosomal RNA", at positions 28 to 507 of the family's 1533-position model. The record is from RNAcentral.
GACGAACGCUGGCGGCGUGCCUAACACAUGCAAGUCGAACGGGGUAGAGAGCUUCGGUUUUCUACUUAGUGGCGAACGGGUGAGUAACGCGUGAGGAACCUGCCUCUCAGUGGGGGACAACAGUUGGAAACGACUGCUAAUACCGCAUAACACUUCCGAAUGGCAUCAUUUGGAAGUCAAAGCUUUAUGUGCUGAGAGAUGGCCUCGCGUCUGAUUAGCUAGUUGGCGGGGUAACGGCCCACCAAGGCGACGAUCAGUAGCCGGUCUGAGAGGAUGAACGGCCACAUUGGGACUGAGAUACGGCCCAGACUCCUACGGGAGGCAGCAGUGGGGAAUAUUGGGCAAUGGGGGAAACCCUGACCCAGCAACGCCGCGUGAAAGGGAAGAAAGGGCCUUCGGGUUGUAAACUUCUUUAGUAGGGACGAAGAACGUGACGGUACCGUACAGAAAAAGACAACGGCUAACUACGUG